UGAAUGAUGAAGGUCUUAGGAUUGUAAAAUUCUUUCACCGGGGAAGAUAAUGACGGUACCCGGAGAAGAAGCCCCGGCUAACUUCGUGCCAGCAGCCGCGGUAAUACGAAGGGGGCUAGCGUUGCUCGGAAUUACUGGGCGUAAAGGGCGCGUAGGCGGAUAUUUAAGUCAGGGGUGAAAGCCCGGGGCUCAACCUCGGAAUUGCCUUUGAUACUGGAUAUCUUGAGUUCGGGAGAGGUGAGUGGAAUGCCGAGUGUAGAGGUGAAAUUCGUAGAUAUUCGGCGGAACACCAGUGGCGAAGGCGACUCACUGGCCCGAUACUGACGCUGAGGCGCGAAAGCGUGGGGAGCAAACAGGAUUAGAUACCCUGGUAGUCCACGCCGUAAACGA
RNAcentral lists this ribosomal RNA (390 nucleotides) under uncultured bacterium. RNAcentral's name for it is "bacterial SSU rRNA". It matches the Rfam family "Bacterial small subunit ribosomal RNA", at positions 402 to 809 of the family's 1533-position model. The record is from RNAcentral.